AGAACAUGAACUACUAUGUAUCAUCAAGCAUGCAUAUAUCUAUCUAGCUGUGACAUUCUACAAAUUGGAAAUUUCCUAUUUCUAUGUAAGCAAAAACUAAUAAUUUUCCCAAAAUAUUUUUGAACCAACAACAAACAGAGUACACGACGAAUCAUCUCACGGAUGAUUUUCACCGAUGAGUUUGUUCAGAAGUGUUGUCAACAGGGCAUCCCUCUUUUCAGCUCGGGUCUCCUCUCUCGUUCUCCUUUGCUCCUCCCUCUCCCUCCAAGACUGUUCAAUCAUCAUCCUAUCUCUUUCAAGCUUCUCCAUUGAUGAUCGCCAUUCCUGCUCGAAUGCUUCUCUUUCACGAGCACGCUUCUCUGUUGUCUCCCUCCAUUGCAUUUCAAUCCUCAGCUGAUGCUGAAAGAAUUCUUUAAGCAUUUCUUGAAUAUUAUCAACAGCUCUACCAGUGUUGUUGUUAAUGCUACUCCCAAAGCUGGCUUGUCUUGAAGCUUUUUCUGCAUUGCUUGUUCUUGGACGCUUUUCUUUUUCGGGUUUCUUUUUUGGGAGCAACAUUGCUUCUGCCUAAUUUUACUUCAUCACUCUCGCAAGCAUAACCUUCUUCAUCUUCCGAGAUUUCCUCUGAAGAUCUGUCUCUACUUGUUCCGCGAGGCCUCUUCCUUGCCUGUUGGGAACCAGCCUCAGAUUCGAUCGGUACUCGAUGUACAUUAUUCAUAUUUGAUGAAAAGAGUGCAUGAAGCUCAUCAAAAUAUGGAAAUUGUCCGCCAUUAUCUGGAUCAGAUGUUUCCUUACCCUUGUAACGAUUAAUCAAAGUCUUCCACUUGCUUUUACAUUGUUCAGCACUUCUCCUGUACCCUCUCUCAUUAAUUCUAGCAGCUACAAUCUCCCAUAGACUCUUCAAAUUACUCCGCUUCGCCGAAGAGAACUCCAUCUCAAGCUCACCUCGAAUUGCUAUAAAAUCCCUAGUCUCUUGAGUACUCCACGGCGGAACACGCUCGUCCCGCUUAGGAAACUCAUCGUCUCCGCCUAAACCGCUGCCGGAAGAACCACCGGCGCCGGGAAGGAGGUGAAGGGGGUGCUGCGGAAGCAUCAAACGCUGGGUAAAUGGACCGAGUUUUUCAUUGCUUCCACCAAACAUUGAGUGUUUU
RNAcentral lists this unclassified non-coding RNA (1148 nucleotides) under Hevea brasiliensis (rubber tree). The record is from RNAcentral. Lineage: Eukaryota; Viridiplantae; Streptophyta; Magnoliopsida; Malpighiales; Euphorbiaceae.